RNAcentral lists this long non-coding RNA (423 nucleotides) under Bos taurus (domestic cattle). RNAcentral's name for it is "long non-coding RNA NONBTAT016445". The record is from RNAcentral. Lineage: Eukaryota; Metazoa; Chordata; Mammalia; Artiodactyla; Bovidae.
CUCAAAUUGUGUUCAAUUAAUAUGAAAAAAAAGCAAUGGGUUGAUAAUGUUUGUUGUUAUAUGCCUAGAAAUUGGUAUUUAGAAAAUUAGCAAUUUUGAUCAUAUUUGGUAUGGCCAUCAUUCCGUUGGCCGAGUGGUAGAUGGGAGGCUGGAAACACAAGGUACUUUUCCUACUUUCCAAAGUUGGUGAGCUCUUUUUGUCUUUCACGAAAGUUAGUUAUUUAGGCUUCUAAACAGCCUUUCUAAGAAAAGGGAGAAAAAAAAAAAAGAGUCUUUCAAAUCAUAAAAUGUGCCUAUGGAGACCUGUUUUCAGACACUAUUGUGGAUUCUUUUUACCAAAGAAAGCAAUCUUCAUAGCAGAACUCCAAGCUUAAAAGUUAUUUUGCUUUUAGAUUCAUCUCUGAAUGUUGCUAUGCUAAAAGA